This 909-nucleotide long non-coding RNA is filed under the name Olea europaea (common olive). Its description in RNAcentral is "long non-coding RNA (OEUR_LNC006058)". Lineage: Eukaryota; Viridiplantae; Streptophyta; Magnoliopsida; Lamiales; Oleaceae. The record is from RNAcentral.
UAAUGGAGAUCAAACAGGGCCUUAGUCUCUUGAACAAAUAAUCAAGCAAUUUCUGAUUCCUAACUCUCUGAAAAAAAAGAUGGUUCCGAAUCCACCUUCUCCUACCUCUUCUUCUCGAUCCUCGUCUUCUUCAUCGUGAUUCACCCGUGAAUUCAACAGAAAAAUCAACACACACAUGGCGCCGCCCAGUCUUGGCUUAAGAAAUCUCUCGAUAAGGCGCCAAAAUUAUUCAAAUCAUUUCUUAAGACCGCGAUCCAUUAUCCACGCCUGUCCAGCACUUCUCCACUGGAUUAUCCAUCCUUGCCUCCCAUUGGUUAAUGCACUUAUAUUCCUUAAUUCAGGUUUCUUUUCUUUUUCCCGAUUUCUCUUCUUCCUUUUUUAUGUUCCAAGAAAUCUACUGUCUGUGUUUUCCUGUGGGUUUUAAGGAGUUUAUCUAAACUUUCUUUAGCCUCUCAACUAGAGUUUCUUGGCUAACACAACAGGAUUAUAAGAAUUUAUUCUUUAGCAUUUCUUGGUUAUAUCAGGGACUCAUUGUUUCGCCCCAGGCCACAUUUUCAAUGUUAUCGGGGUAGAAUGCAUUUGGGGGUAACUUCAACAAGCAAGUUUGCAGAUCCAAUCAAGAACACAUUACUCCAGACUCAUGGCACAGUAUUUGCAAAUGUUUACAGAAAUUCAGCCCCCUGGAAAAGGUUUGUCUUCUCCAUGUCACGGCUGUUAAAAAACCCAGUAUUUUUGUUGGAGUUUUAACAGCAAAUAUUUGGCCAGAAAGCAGAUGAUGUAAAUAAGAUACUUCAUACAUCUACAUGUCCUUUUAUUAGUCAACAAAGUUUAAAUCAAAGAAAAUGAGAACUGCUUUCAGUUUAACUGUAUAUUCUAGCACAUUUAGGGAUCAUUUAUGUAAUAUGUGAU